CCUACGGGCGGCAUCAGUGGGGAAUAUUGGACAAUGGGGGGAACCCUGAUCCAGCCAUGCCGCGUGUGUGAAGAAGGCCCUCGGGUUGUAAAGCACUUUCAGUGAGGAAGAACGCCUGGUGGUUAAUACCCAUCAGGAAAGACAUCACUCACAGAAGAAGCACCGGCUAACUCCGUGCCAGCAGCCGCGGUAAUACGGAGGGUGCGAGCGUUAAUCGGAAUUACUGGGCGUAAAGCGCGCGUAGGUGGCUUGAUAAGCCGGUUGUGAAAGCCCCGGGCUCAACCUGGGAACGGCAUCCGGAACUGUCAAGCUAGAGUGCAGGAGAGGAGGGUAGAAUUCCCGGUGUAGCGGUGAAAUGCGUAGAGAUCGGGAGGAAUACCAGUGGCGAAGGCGGCCUUCUGGACUGACACUGACACUGAGGUGCGAAAGCGUGGGUAGCAAACAGGAUUAGAUACCCUAGUAGUC
Molecule: ribosomal RNA, 465 nt
Filed under: Vreelandella stevensii
Lineage: Bacteria; Pseudomonadati; Pseudomonadota; Gammaproteobacteria; Oceanospirillales; Halomonadaceae
Description: partial 16S ribosomal RNA
Rfam family: Bacterial small subunit ribosomal RNA
Source: RNAcentral